CCUACGGGGGGCAGCAGUGGGGAAUAUUGGACAAUGGGCGAAAGCCUGAUCCAGCCAUGCCGCGUGUGUGAAGAAGGCCUUCGGGUUGUAAAGCACUUUCAGUGGGGAAGAAAGCCUUGGGGCUAAUACCCUCGAGGAAGGACAUCACCCACAGAAGAAGCACCGGCUAACUCCGUGCCAGCAGCCGCGGUAAUACGGAGGGUGCGAGCGUUAAUCGGAAUUACUGGGCGUAAAGCGCGCGUAGGCGGUCUGAUAAGCCGGGUGUGAAAGCCCCGGGCUCAACCUGGGAACGGCAUCCGGAACUGUCAGGCUAGAGUGCAGGAGAGGAAGGUAGAAUUCCCGGUGUAGCGGUGAAAUGCGUAGAGAUCGGGAGGAAUACCAGUGGCGAAGGCGGCCUUCUGGACUGACACUGACGCUGAGGUGCGAAAGCGUGGGUAGCAAACAGGAUUAGAUACCCCAGUAGUC
Molecule: ribosomal RNA, 465 nt
Filed under: Vreelandella stevensii
Lineage: Bacteria; Pseudomonadati; Pseudomonadota; Gammaproteobacteria; Oceanospirillales; Halomonadaceae
Description: partial 16S ribosomal RNA
Rfam family: Bacterial small subunit ribosomal RNA
Source: RNAcentral